CACGAGUAAUAAUCUAUCACGAACAUCAGCGUAUCGGAUUUUAAUGGAGAAAUUUUGAGGGCGCCGCGCUUGAGUAUCGACAAGAGCCAGUGCGGGUUUCGUCGAUACAACAAAGAAACCGAUUUCGGCGAUUAUAGCGAGCCGCUAACGGCCGUAUUCCUAUUUAUACCUUAACGUUUGCUAUCCCGAAGCGGACCCGAGCAAAUUGAGUCGUCGAAAUGGUCGAAUAAAUUUUCAAAUUUAUGUAAUGAGCUCGACGGCUCAUCAGUUAAAAAAACCCGCAGGGUUUCCUCAGCCAUCCCCGGGCACCUCGUCGCGGACCGGUCAUUCGAGCGGAUGAUGCAUGGAACACGCGCGGCGGAGUCAAACGGAAUCCGCAGUAAUAAGGACGCAUCGUUGCUGAAUGAGAGUAAUAAUGGGCUAGACACACGUGAAUAAAGAUAUGGUAAUUGGGGAAGGUACGACAGAUUGAUGAGACUUUACGGUUAUUCGAUGGCGCGGACGAUGGAGAUGUCACUUCCACGAUUUGUGGCGUUUGUAUUCGGUAGUUUCGUGAUUUUAUCCGAGAUACGCUGCUUUCGCGUGUCGAGCACUGUGUUUAAUAAAAUGUAACAAAUUUAUCGCUAUUAUAUUAGUAAUCACGA
Long non-coding RNA from Wasmannia auropunctata (little fire ant), 644 nucleotides. RefSeq lists it as uncharacterized. The transcript has 2 exons. The record is from RefSeq and is a predicted model, not a curated record. Lineage: Eukaryota; Metazoa; Arthropoda; Insecta; Hymenoptera; Formicidae.